UUCUUAUCCAGAGAGGUGGAGGGAAAGGCCCUGUGAAACCCAGCAACCAGUAUAUAUUAAUAUACAAUGGUGCUAAGUCCUGCAGCAAUUAUGCUGAAAGAUAAGUA
Regulatory RNA element from Terrisporobacter sp., 107 nucleotides. It matches the Rfam family "SAM riboswitch aptamer (S box leader)". From Rfam's summary of the family: The SAM riboswitch is found upstream of a number of genes which code for proteins involved in methionine or cysteine biosynthesis in Gram-positive bacteria. The SAM riboswitch acts at the level of transcription termination control. The record is from Rfam. NCBI's taxonomy places the organism in Bacteria, Bacillati, Bacillota, Clostridia, Peptostreptococcales, Peptostreptococcaceae.